Molecule: ribosomal RNA, 453 nt
Filed under: uncultured Porphyromonadaceae bacterium
Lineage: Bacteria; Pseudomonadati; Bacteroidota; Bacteroidia; Bacteroidales; Porphyromonadaceae
Description: partial 16S ribosomal RNA
Rfam family: Bacterial small subunit ribosomal RNA
Source: RNAcentral
ACGGGAGGCAGCAGUGAGGAAUAUUGGUCAAUGGGCGAGAGCCUGAACCAGCCAAGUCGCGUGAAGGAUGAAGGUUCUAUGGAUUGUAAACUUCUUUUAUUCGAGGGUAAAGUGAGUCACGUGUGGUUCAUUGCAAGUAUCGAAUGAAUAAGCAUCGGCUAACUCCGUGCCAGCAGCCGCGGUAAUACGGAGGAUGCGAGCGUUAUCCGGAUUUAUUGGGUUUAAAGGGUGCGUAGGCGGGACGUUAAGUCAGUGGUAAAAGCGUGUGGCUCAACCAUACCAAGCCAUUGAAACUGUCGUUCUUGAGUGUAAACGAGGUAGGCGGAAUGUGACGUGUAGCGGUGAAAUGCUUAGAUAUGUCACAGAACACCGAUUGCGAAGGCAGCUGACUAAUCCGCAACUGACGCUCAGGCACGAAAGCGUGGGGCUCGAACAGGAUUAGAUACCCUGGUA